Molecule: transfer RNA, 71 nt
Filed under: Bos taurus (domestic cattle)
Lineage: Eukaryota; Metazoa; Chordata; Mammalia; Artiodactyla; Bovidae
Also listed under: 2 other names
Rfam family: tRNA
About the family: Transfer RNA (tRNA) molecules are approximately 80 nucleotides in length. Their secondary structure includes four short double-helical elements and three loops (D, anti-codon, and T loops).
Source: Rfam by way of RNAcentral
UCCCUGGUAGCUCAGCGAUAAAGAAUCUGCCUGCAAUGCAGGAGACCCAGGUUCAAUCCCUGGGUCGGGUA